This 1164-nucleotide ribosomal RNA is filed under the name Staphylococcus aureus. Its description in RNAcentral is "partial 23S ribosomal RNA". It matches the Rfam family "Bacterial large subunit ribosomal RNA", at positions 292 to 1458 of the family's 2925-position model. The record is from RNAcentral. Lineage: Bacteria; Bacillati; Bacillota; Bacilli; Caryophanales; Staphylococcaceae.
UUGGGGUUGUAGGACACUCUAUACGGAGUUACAAAGGACGACAUUAGACGAAUCAUCUGGAAAGAUGAAUCAAAGAAGGUAAUAAUCCUGUAGUCGAAAAUGUUGUCUCUCUUGAGUGGAUCCUGAGUACGACGGAACACGUGAAAUUCCGUCGGAAUCUGGGAGGACCAUCUCCUAAGGCUAAAUACUCUCUAGUGACCGAUAGUGAACCAGUACCGUGAGGGAAAGGUGAAAAGCACCCCGGAAGGGGAGUGAAAUAGAACCUGAAACCGUGUGCUUACAAGUAGUCAGAGCCCGUUAAUGGGUGAUGGCGUGCCUUUUGUAGAAUGAACCGGCGAGUUACGAUUUGAUGCAAGGUUAAGCAGUAAAUGUGGAGCCGUAGCGAAAGCGAGUCUGAAUAGGGCGUUUAGUAUUUGGUCGUAGACCCGAAACCAGGUGAUCUACCCUUGGUCAGGUUGAAGUUCAGGUAACACUGAAUGGAGGACCGAACCGACUUACGUUGAAAAGUGAGCGGAUGAACUGAGGGUAGCGGAGAAAUUCCAAUCGAACCUGGAGAUAGCUGGUUCUCUCCGAAAUAGCUUUAGGGCUAGCCUCAAGUGAUGAUUAUUGGAGGUAGAGCACUGUUUGGACGAGGGGCCCCUCUCGGGUUACCGAAUUCAGACAAACUCCGAAUGCCAAUUAAUUUAACUUGGGAGUCAGAACAUGGGUGAUAAGGUCCGUGUUCGAAAGGGAAACAGCCCAGACCACCAGCUAAGGUCCCAAAAUAUAUGUUAAGUGGAAAAGGAUGUGGCGUUGCCCAGACAACUAGGAUGUUGGCUUAGAAGCAGCCAUCAUUUAAAGAGUGCGUAAUAGCUCACUAGUCGAGUGACACUGCGCCGAAAAUGUACCGGGGCUAAACAUAUUACCGAAGCUGUGGAUUGUCCUUUGGACAAUGGUAGGAGAGCGUUCUAAGGGCGUUGAAGCAUGAUCGUAAGGACAUGUGGAGCGCUUAGAAGUGAGAAUGCCGGUGUGAGUAGCGAAAGACGGGUGAGAAUCCCGUCCACCGAUUGACUAAGGUUUCCAGAGGAAGGCUCGUCCGCUCUGGGUUAGUCGGGUCCUAAGCUGAGGCCGACAGGCGUAGGCGAUGGAUAACAGGUUGAUAUUCCUGUACCACCUAUAAUCGUU